AUUGCUUGAACCUGGGAGGGAGACAGGUUGCAGUGAGCCGAGAUUGUGCCGCUGCUCUCCAGCCUGGGCAACAGGGAGACUGUCUCGAAAGAUAGUAAAGUCAAUAUAUAGAACAGUUCUAACACCAAAAGAUACCUCAUGUUACCUUACAGAGUCAGGCCACCUCUUCCUCUUGUCAUCCCCACUGACCCCUGGCAAGCACAAAGCAGUCUUCAUUUUGUCGAUUCAAGAAUGGAAAUGAUAGGGAUCAUCUGCUUUGAAAUGUGGAGAUUACCAUGUUUUAUGAGUCAGAUAAAAGACUCAAGAAUGGAGGAUAACUCACCAGUGGUCACACUGCCAGAAAGUGGGAGAGCUGGGACUUGAAACCAUUACUCUUAUGUCAAAGAGUUCCUUUAUUCACUGUGCUGUUUGACUACCAAGUGGAUCCCUAAAGACUUCAAUAAGUUAGUGUGUGUGUGGGUACACGGUGGGUGCCGGAUAGUGUCUGGAUGAACACAUUAUUUUUGUAACAGCUGUGUUGAGCUAUGACUGAUAAAGAACAAAAACUGUACCUUUAAUGUGUACAGCUUGAUGAGUUUAGACAGUUGGAUGAAUUUGUGCAAACACAUGAUGCUAUCAUGUAUGUGACCCUUUGUAAUCUGGUUUCUGCUUGUUUUCCUGUUACCGUCUUCCUACUUUAUGCUUUAGGUAUUAGGGAAAAACGUUUUUUCAAGUUCUUUUGCACAUGCACUUGCCUUUGCCUGAAACACUUAGGCUUUCCUUUGGUCACUUGAUGAGUCCCUGUGUGUCCUUUAGCAUUCACUCUGUGUUAUCUCAUAGAUGGUACCUUCCCUGAUGCAAAUAUUUUAAGGAGAGGAAUGAAGAAAGCUCUUGGAAUCAGAGAAGAGAGAUUACUUCUGUUUGUAAUAAAAUCCCCCACAUCUUUGUUUCUAUGACAGAUGUUUCUGUUACAGUGUUUUUAACUUGUAAAGUUCUGUCUUCCUCACUACACCUGAGUUUAAGGACUGAUCUUACUAAAUUUUGCACUCCUUGUGCCUGGAAUAUAGUAAGCAUUCAAUAAAUGCUCUUCGAAUUAAUGAGAAGAUAAUGAGAAAAAUGCUCUU
Sapajus apella (tufted capuchin) is the source of this 1103-nucleotide long non-coding RNA. RefSeq lists it as uncharacterized. NCBI's taxonomy places the organism in Eukaryota, Metazoa, Chordata, Mammalia, Primates, Cebidae. The transcript has 2 exons. The record is from RefSeq and is a predicted model, not a curated record.